This 253-nucleotide ribosomal RNA is filed under the name uncultured bacterium. Its description in RNAcentral is "partial 16S ribosomal RNA". It matches the Rfam family "Bacterial small subunit ribosomal RNA", at positions 524 to 776 of the family's 1533-position model. The record is from RNAcentral.
UACGUAGGUGGCAAGCGUUGUCCGGAAUUAUUGGGCGUAAAGCGCGCGCAGGCGGUCCUUUAAGUCUGAUGUGAAAGCCCACGGCUCAACCGUGGAGGGUCAUUGGAAACUGGGGGACUUGAGUACAGAAGAGGAAAGCGGAAUUCCACGUGUAGCGGUGAAAUGCGUAGAGAUGUGGAGGAACACCAGUGGCGAAGGCGGCUUUCUGGGCUCUACCUGACGCUGAGGCGCGAAAGCGUGGGGAGCGAACCGG